AGGGCGCACGGUGGAUGCCUUGGCACUAGGAGCCGAUGAAGGACGGGACUAACACCGAUAUGCUUUGGGGAGCUGUAAGUAAGCUAUGAUCCAGAGAUUUCCGAAUGGGGGAACCCAAUAUCUUUUAUAGGAUAUUACUUUUCAGUGAAUACAUAGCUGAUUAGAGGUAGACGCAGAGAACUGAAACAUCUUAGUACCUGCAGGAAGAGAAAGAAAAUUCGAUUCCCUGAGUAGCGGCGAGCGAAACGGGAAGAGCCCAAACCAACAAGCUUGCUUGUUGGGGUUGUAGGACUCCAAUAUGGUAGUCUGUUAGUAUAGUUGAAGGAUUUGGAAAAUUCCGCUAAAGAGGGUGAAAGCCCCGUAGACGAAAUGCUGACAACACCUAGGAGGAUCCUGAGUACGGCGGAACACGAGAAAUUCCGUCGGAAUCCGCGGGGACCAUCCCGCAAGGCUAAAUACUCCCUAGUGACCGAUAGUGAACCAGUACCGUGAGGGAAAGGUGAAAAGCACCCCGGAAGGGGAGUGAAAUAGAUCCUGAAACCGUGUGCCUACAACAAGUCAAAGCUCGUUAAUGAGUGAUGGCGUGCCUUUUGUAGAAUGAACCGGCGAGUUACGAUUGCAUGCGAGGUUAAGUCGAAGAGACGGAGCCGCAGCGAAAGCGAGUCUGAAUAGGGCGAAUGAGUAUGUAGUCGUAGACCCGAAACCAUGUGAUCUACCCAUGUCCAGGUUGAAGGUGCGGUAAAACGCACUGGAGGACCGAACCCACGUACGUUGAAAAGUGCGGGGAUGAGGUGUGGGUAGCGGAGAAAUUCCAAACGAACUUGGAGAUAGCUGGUUCUCUCCGAAAUAGCUUUAGGGCUAGCCUCGGAAUUGAGAAUGAUGGAGGUAGAGCACUGUUUGGACUAGGGGCCCAUCUCGGGUUACCGAAUUCAGAUAAACUCCGAAUGCCAUUCAUUUAUAUCCGGGAGUCAGACUGCGAGUGAUAAGAUCCGUAGUCGAAAGGGAAACAGCCCAGACCACCAGCUAAGGUCCCAAAAUAUAUGUUAAGUGGAAAAGGAUGUGGGGUUGCACAGACAACUAGGAUGUUGGCUUAGAAGCAGCCACCAUUUAAAGAGUGCGUAAUAGCUCACUAGUCGAGUGACCCUGCGCCGAAAAUGUACCGGGGCUAAACAUAUUACCGAAGCUGUGGACUACACCAUUAGGUGUAGUGGUAGGAGAGCGUUCUAAGGGCGUUGAAGGUCGAUCGUGAGGACGGCUGGAGCGCUUAGAAGUGAGAAUGCCGGUAUGAGUAGCGAAAGACAGGUGAGAAUCCUGUCCACCGUAUGACUAAGGUUUCCUGGGGAAGGCUCGUCCGCCCAGGGUUAGUCGGGACCUAAGCCGAGGCCGAUAGGCGUAGGCGAUGGACAACAGGUUGAUAUUCCUGUACCAGUUGUUUUUGUUUGAGCAAUGGAGGGACGCAGUAGGCUAAGGAAUGCAUGCGAUUGGAAGUGCAUGUCCAAGCAAUGAGUCUUGAGUAGAGUUAAAUGCUUUACUCUUUAAGGACAAGUUGUGACGGGGAGCGAAAUAAUAGUAGCGAAGUUCCUGAUGUCACACUGCCAAGAAAAGCUUCUAGUGAGAAAACAACUGCCCGUACCGUAAACCGACACAGGUAGUCGAGGAGAGUAUCCUAAGGUGAGCGAGCGAACUCUCGUUAAGGAACUCGGCAAAAUGACCCCGUAACUUCGGGAGAAGGGGUGCUGACUUCGGUCAGCCGCAGUGAAUAGGCCCAAGCGACUGUUUAUCAAAAACACAGGUCUCUGCAAAAUCGUAAGAUGAAGUAUAGGGGCUGACGCCUGCCCGGUGCUGGAAGGUUAAGAGGAUGGGUUAGCUUCGGCGAAGCUCAGAAUUGAAGCCCCAGUAAACGGCGGCCGUAACUAUAACGGUCCUAAGGUAGCGAAAUUCCUUGUCGGGUAAGUUCCGACCCGCACGAAAGGCGUAACGAUUUGGGCACUGUCUCAACGAGAGACUCGGUGAAAUCAUAGUACCUGUGAAGAUGCAGGUUACCCGCGACAGGACGGAAAGACCCCAUGGAGCUUUACUGUAGUUUGAUAUUGAGUGUUUGUACCACAUGUACAGGAUAGGUAGGAGCCGAUGAGACCGGAACGCUAGUUUCGGAGGAGGCGCUGGUGGGAUACUACCCUUGUGUUAUGAACCCUCUAACCCGCACCACUAAUCGUGGUGGGAGACAGUGUCAGAUGGGCAGUUUGACUGGGGCGGUCGCCUCCUAAAAGGUAACGGAGGCGCCCAAAGGUUCCCUCAGAAUGGUUGGAAAUCAUUCGAAGAGUGUAAAGGCAGAAGGGAGCUUGACUGCGAGACCUACAAGUCGAGCAGGGACGAAAGUCGGGCUUAGUGAUCCGGUGGUUCCGCAUGGAAGGGCCAUCGCUCAACGGAUAAAAGCUACCCUGGGGAUAACAGGCUUAUCUCCCCCAAGAGUCCACAUCGACGGGGAGGUUUGGCACCUCGAUGUCGGCUCGUCGCAUCCUGGGGCUGUAGUCGGUCCCAAGGGUUGGGCUGUUCGCCCAUUAAAGCG
This 2569-nucleotide ribosomal RNA is filed under the name human gut metagenome. RNAcentral's name for it is "bacterial LSU rRNA". It matches the Rfam family "Bacterial large subunit ribosomal RNA", at positions 14 to 2595 of the family's 2925-position model. The record is from RNAcentral.